CGGCGACAAAGUCACAGUCGACUUCGUACGCGAUAAUCGCUCACCUCCCCGCACCUCCCCAUUGCCGAUGCUCGUCGCUCGAAUUCCAUUCACGCCGGAUCCAGUUUCUCCAGAAGUCGCAGGAAAACUGCACCGAUUUGCAACGACCGGAGGAUUCUCGAAAGGUUCCCCGCAAAAAUCGCGAUCAAAUUCUAUUGGAACGCCGAAGACUGGUCAGUGAAAUCGUGACGCUUUAAAGGGAAAACUGCUUUUGCAGCAGAGUCAGCUACGCGGAUGAAAUUGCACGAAAUGGCGCACGAAGUUCGGGAAACCAUUUUGUCGGAACUUUUGAACAAUAGCGUAAAACUGUCAACCUAGGAGCUGUCUACAAUUUCCAAUGGUUCGCAGAGUAAUACCGGAAAACUUCGGCAGAGUCUAGAAGCCGUACUUACGGAUUUCGACUUUCUCGGAACGGUGCAGACAAAUGCAACUUUGAAGAGAACUUCGGAACGUAGCGGCUUUCGUUUCGAAUGGAAGAAGCAGCGUUUAGCCGAGCGAGAGUCCGACAAACGCGCUGUGAACGCAGCCUAAGUUGCACCGAGGGGCCGUCGUUUCGGCGUCGCGCGAAUGUAUCCGAGCCGCAUCGGGCCGAGUCGCGUUGCAUCGUCCAAGUUCUCCACGCUAAGAGGCUUCCAGCUGUGGAACCACAAAUUUGCGUGGCAGUCGCGCGUCGCGUCGCGCAGCGUCGGCUAAAUUAGAAAAACCGACUGACUAACGCGGGCCGGUUGCUUCCCCCCGUCUCAUGUCCCCCAUCGAAUCUCGUUAAAAUAACUUUUCGCAUUAUCGCGACCGCAUGCGCUUCCCGGAGGAACGACCGUUUUCCAAAGCGAUCGGGAACUGUCGUGGAGCCGCGAACUCGCAUGAAAAGUUUAUUAUUAGGAUCGCCGCCGGAAUCGUUCGUUCUUGAAACGCUCUCCGCGGGCCGGGCCGAUUCCCAAUUACCGGGCCGGAACGUUAAUUCGGCGGAGUCGAAAGUCUCUUACAUGAUCAAAGAAUUCGAGAUUGUGUUUCACGGGUGUAAACGAGAAAUAUUUUUGGUGCUGGAUGUCGCAAGUUUUCGAUAGUCCGCGACAGAGUUCGGCGUGUAUUCGAAUUGUUUCGAAUUAAGUAUUUCUCGUAGAUAGUUACCCGAAUGAAUUCCUUUUUAAUCGAAUAUUUUAUUCGAACAACGAUUAUUCAUUGCUCGUCUUAAA
Long non-coding RNA from Megalopta genalis, 1232 nucleotides. RefSeq lists it as uncharacterized. Lineage: Eukaryota; Metazoa; Arthropoda; Insecta; Hymenoptera; Halictidae. The record is from RefSeq and is a predicted model, not a curated record.